This 68-nucleotide ribosomal RNA is filed under the name Vinca major (greater periwinkle). RNAcentral describes it as "partial 26S ribosomal RNA". Lineage: Eukaryota; Viridiplantae; Streptophyta; Magnoliopsida; Gentianales; Apocynaceae. The record is from RNAcentral.
GACCCUCUCAACGAAAUCGUGCCGGAACCGCGGACGGGAAAGACCGUGUGACCCUUUCAGCGAGCCCC